This 26-nucleotide ribosomal RNA is filed under the name Trichoderma paratroviride. Its description in RNAcentral is "partial 18S ribosomal RNA". The record is from RNAcentral. Lineage: Eukaryota; Fungi; Ascomycota; Sordariomycetes; Hypocreales; Hypocreaceae.
CGGUUUUGGGACGCGGAGGGACAUUA